RNAcentral lists this ribosomal RNA (425 nucleotides) under uncultured bacterium. Its description in RNAcentral is "partial 16S ribosomal RNA". It matches the Rfam family "Bacterial small subunit ribosomal RNA", at positions 354 to 796 of the family's 1533-position model. The record is from RNAcentral.
GUGGGGAAUAUUGGGCAAUGGGCGAAAGCCUGACCCAGCAACGCCGCGUGAAGGAAGAAGGUUUUCGGAUCGUAAACUUCUAUCCUUGGUGAAGAUAAUGACGGUAGCCAAGAAGGAAGCCCCGGCUAACUACGUGCCAGCAGCCGCGGUAAUACGUAGGGGGCAAGCGUUGUCCGGAAUGAUUGGGCGUAAAGGGCGCGUAGGCGGCCUGGUAAGUCUGGAGUGAAAGUCCUGCUUUUAAGGUGGGAAUUGCUUUGGAUACUGUCGAGCUUGAGUGCAGGAGAGGUAAGUGGAAUUCCCGGUGUAGCUGUGAAAUGCGUAGAGAUCGGGAGGAACACCAGUGGCGAAGGCGACUUACUGGACUGUAACUGACGCUGAGGCGCGAAAGUGUGGGGAGCAAACAGGAUUAGAAACCCCUGUAGUCC